This 1430-nucleotide long non-coding RNA is filed under the name Vulpes vulpes (red fox). Its description in RNAcentral is "lncRNA (ENSVVUG00000030325.1)". The record is from RNAcentral. Lineage: Eukaryota; Metazoa; Chordata; Mammalia; Carnivora; Canidae.
GUAAAAAAGAUGUGCAUAUGUAAAUACUUUAUCAUAUGUGCUUGUUUAUGGAUUACAAACAUAAGUGUACAUAAUUCAUAAGUAUUCAUAAGUAUGAAUUUCUGGAAAUAUACGAGGAAAGGUAAAAGGUAGCUACAAACAGGAACUUGGAAGAUGAAAGUGAUCAGAUCAGAAAACUUCUAUUUUCUUUUACAUUAGCUUAAUAGCUUCUUUUUCUUGAAAUACAGAAUUUUAUUUAGAGACUGUUUAAUGUAGGAAAAAACCCUGUCAAGAAAGACCACGUAGAAAAUGGAUUCCCAAUAAAAUGGGAUUUUAGGGCAACAAAAUUCUAAAAGGCCACAAAAGGGAGAUUGCACCCCUGGUAACUGAACAACGGCUAGUGACUUGCAGUUUUUGCAUCGUUAAUCACCGAAUGUGGGUUUUUCCUCUGCCGUCCACACGGAGCAUGCACUACGCAACAAUUUUAUCAUAAAGUACCUGCUUUCCACACGCAUUUUAGGGCAAGCUGCCACCGGAAACAAAUCAGAGCGUCGGCCGCACAGUCUCACUAGCGGGAGACCCGUUUUGUGGAAUCCUGUGACGCGCAGGAACUGGAUAAACACGUGAGAGGCAGAGCCAACGAGGAAGAGGCAGGGAGUGACGCAUCCGAAAUUUCAAUAAUUCACUGGGAUGCGGAACCGUAUUUUCUGCAAAAGGGAAGUGACAUUUAGCAAACACGCUCCCGAAUUUUAUCUCCAAACAGAACACCUCCCUUGGCCACCCACCUGCUGGGCUCGCUCUGUAAGCAGCAAACUUCAAGGAGCCAGAGAGGGAUCCUCAGCAGGAAGGGGAGCCAGGAAACACGCUCAACCUACACGGAAAAGACAGUAACUUGGGACGCAAGCCCCACUCGAAUCCCAGAGAUGGGAGGCCAGCCCUCAAAAGUAGUUGUUAGAUUUAAAACCCAGACAUACCUCAUUACCAAACAAACCUCCCACCCCCCCCAAAAAAACAAACCUAAUACAUAGAAAUUUCAGGGAUAAUUGGGAAAAUCGGCAGAGGACUCUUCAGUGGAAUUCAAGGUCUUCAACUCAAACAUCUCAGGGCUGAAACACACCCUGUGCUCAUCCAUCCGAGAGGGACUCUUGCUUCUCAGAGCAGGGGUGUCAUCUGGCUUUUUGCUUCUCAGAGCAGGGGUGUCAUCUGGCUGUAAAGCGGAAUGGCUUGACGGUACAACCUUUGAAACUCCCCUGCGGGGUGAAGUCUAGGGCUUUAGUCUAGGGUGCAGAGUCCGCAGGCCCACAUUGCCCGUGCACAGCACGUCCCAGGGCCCAGAGGCCUAGCCCUUCCUUCCCAGGCACCAUGUCCAUCACGUACAGACACCUGUCACCAUAUGAUUUAUAUUUUGAAAUAUAGAAGCAUAUUUUAACCCCUCUUAAGGCAUUUAUUUA